Molecule: ribosomal RNA, 374 nt
Filed under: uncultured bacterium
Lineage: Bacteria
Description: bacterial SSU rRNA
Rfam family: Bacterial small subunit ribosomal RNA
Source: RNAcentral
UAAUACGGAGGGAGCAAGCGUUACUCGGAAUUAUUGGGCGUAAAGGGCGCGUAGGCGGCUACUUAAGUUUUGUGUGAAAUCCCAUGGCUUAACCAUGGAAUUGCACGAAAUACUGAGUGGAUUGAGUGUAGGAGAGGAAGGCAGAAUUCCCGGUGUAGCGGUGAAAUGCGUAGAUAUCGGGAGGAAUACCAGUGGCGAAGGCGGCCUUCUGGACUAUAACUGACGCUGAGGCGCGAAAGCUAGGGGAGCAAACGGGAUUAGAUACCCCGGUAGUCCUAGCCGUAAACGAUGUACACUUGGUGUGAGCCUGUUUAGGGUUCGUGCCGAAGUUAACGCGAUAAGUGUACCGCCUGGGGAGUACGGUCGCAAGGCUG